Molecule: ribosomal RNA, 559 nt
Filed under: fungal sp. YX-16
Lineage: Eukaryota; Fungi
Description: eukaryotic LSU rRNA
Rfam family: 5.8S ribosomal RNA (bases 196-349)
Source: RNAcentral
UCCGUAGGUGAACCUGCGGAGGGAUCAUUACACAAAUAUGAAGGCGGGCUGGAACCUCUCGGGGUUACAGCCUUGCUGAAUUAUUCACCCUUGUCUUUUGCGUACUUCUUGUUUCCUUGGUGGGUUCGCCCACCACUAGGACAAACAUAAACCUUUUGUAAUUGCAAUCAGCGUCAGUAACAAAUUAAUAAUUACAACUUUCAACAACGGAUCUCUUGGUUCUGGCAUCGAUGAAGAACGCAGCGAAAUGCGAUAAGUAGUGUGAAUUGCAGAAUUCAGUGAAUCAUCGAAUCUUUGAACGCACAUUGCGCCCUUUGGUAUUCCAAAGGGCAUGCCUGUUCGAGCGUCAUUUGUACCCUCAAGCUUUGCUUGGUGUUGGGCGUCUUGUCUCUAGCUUUGCUGGAGACUCGCCUUAAAGUAAUUGGCAGCCGGCCUACUGGUUUCGGAGCGCAGCACAAGUCGCACUCUCUAUCAGCAAAGGUCUAGCAUCCAUUAAGCCUUUUUUUCAACUUUUGACCUCGGAUCAGGUAAGGAUACCCGCUGAACUUAAGCAUAUCAA